AACGAACGCUGGCGGCAUGCCUAACACAUGCAAGUCGAACGAGACCUUCGGAUCUAGUGGCGCACGGGUGCGUAACGCGUGGGAACCUGCCCUUAGGUUCGGAAUAACUCCCCGAAAGAGGUGCUAAUACCGGAUAAUGUCUUCGGACCAAAGAUUUAUCGCCUUUGGAUGGGCCCGCGUUGGAUUAGCUAGUUGGUAGGGUAAAAGCCUACCAAGGCGACGAUCCAUAGCUGGUCUGAGAGGAUGAUCAGCCACACUGGGACUGAGACACGGCCCAGACUCCUACGGGAGGCAGCAGUGGGGAAUAUUGGACAAUGGGCGAAAGCCUGAUCCAGCAAUGCCGCGUGAGUGAUGAAGGCCUUAGGGUUGUAAAGCUCUUUUAACCGGGAUGAUAAUGACAGUACCGGGAGAAUAAGCUCCGGCUAACUCCGUG
RNAcentral lists this ribosomal RNA (433 nucleotides) under uncultured bacterium. RNAcentral describes it as "partial 16S ribosomal RNA". It matches the Rfam family "Bacterial small subunit ribosomal RNA", at positions 29 to 507 of the family's 1533-position model. The record is from RNAcentral.